This 205-nucleotide long non-coding RNA is filed under the name Elaeis guineensis (African oil palm). Its description in RNAcentral is "long non-coding RNA (EGUI_LNC014828)". Lineage: Eukaryota; Viridiplantae; Streptophyta; Magnoliopsida; Arecales; Arecaceae. The record is from RNAcentral.
GGUGUGACAAACCAUUGUUCCUUCUUCUGCUAGAGGCUUCUGAGGAAGAUGUCCUUCCAUGAAAUUCUGACUUUCAUGUUUCAGUUCCAGCUUCAUCGUUGGGAGUGGAGAUGAAAGUGCUCUGCCAAACCUGUACAUGAUGGGGUUUCUUCCGGCACAAGAUGGGAUCUUCCGAGUCUGGGUUCUCCUCUUGAACCACUGCAAG